RNAcentral lists this ribosomal RNA (611 nucleotides) under Leptographium procerum. RNAcentral's name for it is "eukaryotic LSU rRNA". It matches the Rfam family "Eukaryotic large subunit ribosomal RNA", at positions 1 to 631 of the family's 3401-position model. The record is from RNAcentral. Lineage: Eukaryota; Fungi; Ascomycota; Sordariomycetes; Ophiostomatales; Ophiostomataceae.
UUGACCUCGGAUCAGGUAGGACUACCCGCUGAACUUAAGCAUAUCAAUAAGCGGAGGAAAAGAAACCAACAGGGAUUGCCCCAGUAACGGCGAGUGAAGCGGCAACAGCUCAGAUUUGGAAUCUGGCCCCCAGGGCCCGAGUUGUAAUCUGGAGAGGAUGCUUCUGGCGCGGCGCCUUCCGAGUUCCCUGGAACGGGACGCCGGAGAGGGUGAGAGCCCCGUACGGUUGGACGCCUAGCCUUUGUGAAGCUCCUUCGACGAGUCGAGUAGUUUGGGAAUGCUGCUCAAAAUGGGAGGUAAAUUUCUUCUAAAGCUAAAUACCGGCCAGAGACCGAUAGCGCACAAGUAGAGUGAUCGAAAGAUGAAAAGCACUUUGAAAAGAGGGUCAAACAGUACGUGAAAUUGUUGAAAGGGAAGCGCCCGUGGCCAGACUUGUGCCCCGCGGACCACCCGGCGCCCUCAGCGCCGGUGCACUCCGCGGGGCGCAGGCCAGCAUCGGUUUUCCUAGGGGGAUAAAGGCGGCGGGAACGUGGCUCCUUCGGGAGUGUUAUAGCCCGUCGUGCCAUGCCCCUGGGGGGACCGAGGACCGCGCUUCGGCAAGGAUGCUGGCG